This 468-nucleotide ribosomal RNA is filed under the name uncultured bacterium. RNAcentral's name for it is "partial 16S ribosomal RNA". It matches the Rfam family "Bacterial small subunit ribosomal RNA", at positions 28 to 507 of the family's 1533-position model. The record is from RNAcentral.
GACGAACGCUGGCGGCGUGCUUAACACAUGCAAGUCGAACGGAAAGGCCCUGCUUUUGUGGGGUGCUCGAGUGGCGAACGGGUGGGUAACACGUGAGUAACCUGCCCUUGACUUUGGGAUAACUUCAGGAAACUGGGGCUAAUACCGGAUAGGAGCUCCUGCUGCAUGGUGGGGGUUGGAAAGUUUCGGCGGUUGGGGACGGACUCGCGGCUUAUCAGCUUGUUGGUGGGGUAGUGGCUUACCAAGGCUUUGACGGGUAGCCGGCCUGAGAGGGUGACCGGCCACAUUGGGACUGAGAUACGGCCCAGACUCCUACGGGAGGCAGCAGUGGGGAAUAUUGCACAAUGGGCGGAAGCCUGAUGCAGCAACGCCGCGUGCGGGAUGACGGCCUUCGGGUUGUAAACCGCUUUCGCCUGUGACGAAGCGUGAGUGACGGUAAUGGGUAAAGAAGCACCGGCUAACUACGUG